RNAcentral lists this ribosomal RNA (253 nucleotides) under uncultured bacterium. RNAcentral's name for it is "partial 16S ribosomal RNA". It matches the Rfam family "Bacterial small subunit ribosomal RNA", at positions 524 to 775 of the family's 1533-position model. The record is from RNAcentral.
UACGAAGGGGGCUAGCGUUGUUCGGAUUUACUGGGCGUAAAGCGCACGUAGGCGGAUAUUUAAGUCAGGGGUGAAAUCCCGGGGCUCAACCCCGGAACUGCCUUUGAUACUGGGUAUCUUUGAGUCCGGAAGAGGUGAGUGGAAUUCCGAGUGUAGAGGUGAAAUUCGUAGAUAUUCGCAAGAACACCAGUGGCGAAGGCGGCUUACUGGUCCGGUUCUGACGCUGAGGCGCGAAAGCGUGGGGAGCAACAGG